Molecule: transfer RNA, 74 nt
Organism: Culex pipiens (northern house mosquito)
Lineage: Eukaryota; Metazoa; Arthropoda; Insecta; Diptera; Culicidae
Rfam family: tRNA
About the family: Transfer RNA (tRNA) molecules are approximately 80 nucleotides in length. Their secondary structure includes four short double-helical elements and three loops (D, anti-codon, and T loops).
Source: Rfam
GCCCGUGUGGAUCAAUCGGACCGUGCACUGGACUCACAAUCCAGAGAUUGCUGGUUCGAAUCCCACGGCGGGCG